AACGAACGCUGGCGGCAUGCCUAACACAUGCAAGUCGAACGAGACCUUCGGGUCUAGUGGCGCACGGGUGCGUAACGCGUGGGAACCUGCCCUUAGGUUCGGAAUAACUCCCCGAAAGGGGGGCUAAUACCGGAUAAUGUCUUCGGACCAAAGAUUUAUCGCCUUUGGAUGGGCCCGCGUUGGAUUAGCUAGUUGGUAGGGUAAAAGCCUACCAAGGCGACGAUCCAUAGCUGGUCUGAGAGGAUGAUCAGCCACACUGGGACUGAGACACGGCCCAGACUCCUACGGGAGGCAGCAGUGGGGAAUAUUGGACAAUGGGCGAAAGCCUGAUCCAGCAAUGCCGCGUGAGUGAUGAAGGCCUUAGGGUUGUAAAGCUCUUUUACCCGGGAUGAUAAUGACAGUACCGGGAGAAUAAGCUCCGGCUAACUCCGUG
This 433-nucleotide ribosomal RNA is filed under the name uncultured bacterium. RNAcentral's name for it is "partial 16S ribosomal RNA". It matches the Rfam family "Bacterial small subunit ribosomal RNA", at positions 29 to 507 of the family's 1533-position model. The record is from RNAcentral.